AUACGGAGGAUGCGAGCGUUAUCCGGAUUUAUUGGGUUUAAAGGGUGCGUAGGUGGUAAUUUAAGUCAGCGGUGAAAGUUUGUGGCUCAACCAUAAAAUUGCCGUUGAAACUGGGUUACUUGAGUGUGUUUGAGGUAGGCGGAAUGCGUGGUGUAGCGGUGAAAUGCAUAGAUAUCACGCAGAACUCCAAUUGCGAAGGCAGCUUACUAAACCAUAACUGACACUGAAGCACGAAAGCGUGGGUAUCAAACAGGAUUAGAUACCCUGGUAGUCCACGCAGUAAACGAUGAUUACUAGGAGUUUGCGAUACACGGUAAGCUCUACAGCGAAAGCGUUAAGUAAUCCACCUGGGGAGUACGCCGGCAACGGUGAAACUCAAAGGAAUUGACGGGG
This 393-nucleotide ribosomal RNA is filed under the name uncultured bacterium. Its description in RNAcentral is "partial 16S ribosomal RNA". It matches the Rfam family "Bacterial small subunit ribosomal RNA", at positions 523 to 918 of the family's 1533-position model. The record is from RNAcentral.